This is a long non-coding RNA of Cervus elaphus (red deer), 723 nucleotides long. RefSeq lists it as uncharacterized. The transcript is spliced from 3 exons. NCBI's taxonomy places the organism in Eukaryota, Metazoa, Chordata, Mammalia, Artiodactyla, Cervidae. The record is from RefSeq and is a predicted model, not a curated record.
UUCCAGGCAGAGAGAACAGCUAGUGCAAAGGCUGAGCUGGGGAUGGUUUGAGAUGCAGGCAUCAGGUGUAACCAAGGAGCCCGGUGGCUGGUGUGACUGGAGUACAGCUGCAACUGGAUGAAAAUGGGGUAACUCUGCGGUUGCAAUAGCUGCCCUAACAGAGCUGAUGGCUUAGAAGUUAUCUGCUGGCAGUUGAACACUGUGCUUCACCCAGAACAAAGAAACUUUUUGCCUUGGACACAAUUCUGAUGCAUACUUCGAUUGAUUCAUUUAUGCAACCAUUUUCACCAUCGGUGCACUCUGCCAGAGAAACCAUAGACUCGAGUUGGAUUUUUCCUUCUCCAAAUGGUGCAGGCAGUCAAACUCUAUGUCCUCAGAUGCCUUAUUUUAUAUUUCUGCUCUCCAGUGGGUUAGGUUGAACGGAUCAUUUCUCCCCUGGCCAGAAAUACAGGGCUCCUACCCUCCCUAGCCCCUGCCUGGGUCUGGGCUGAAGACCCUGGCUGUGGGUGUGUUUCUAUCUCAUUUCAUCCAAAUAGAUGGUUGAGGCAGCUUCCUGGAGUUGAACUAUGUGCCCCACAUAUUUGUCUGGGUAGCACUGGAAAUAGAUUUGCAUUUCCAGAGUUAAGACAUCUUUCUUUCUCUCUUUUUUUAAAGUUUUUAUUUUGUAUUAGAAUAUAGCCAAUUAACAAUGUCAUGAUAGUUUCAGGUGGACUGCAAAGGGAC